CAGCAGCCGCGGGAAUACAGAGGGUGCAAGCGUUAAUCGGAAUUACUGGGCGUAAAGCGCGCGUAGGUGGUUUGUUAAGUUGGAUGUGAAAGCCCCGGGCUCAACCUGGGAACUGCAUCCAAAACUGGCAAGCUAGAGUACGGUAGAGGGUGGUGGAAUUUCCUGUGUAGCGGUGAAAUGCGUAGAUAUAGGAAGGAACACCAGUGGCGAAGGCGACCACCUGGACUGAUACUGACACUGAGGUGCGAAAGCGUGGGGAGCAAACAGGAUUAGAGACCCCCGUAGUCCCUGUCUCUUAUAC
Molecule: ribosomal RNA, 301 nt
Filed under: uncultured bacterium
Lineage: Bacteria
Description: partial 16S ribosomal RNA
Rfam family: Bacterial small subunit ribosomal RNA
Source: RNAcentral